RNAcentral lists this ribosomal RNA (445 nucleotides) under uncultured bacterium. Its description in RNAcentral is "partial 16S ribosomal RNA". It matches the Rfam family "Bacterial small subunit ribosomal RNA", at positions 354 to 796 of the family's 1533-position model. The record is from RNAcentral.
GUGAGGAAUAUUGGACAAUGGGCGCAAGCCUGAUCCAGCCAUGCCGCGUGCAGGAAGACGCAUCUAUGGUGUGUAAACUGCUUUUGUACGGGAAGAAACACUCCCUCGUGAGGGAGCUUGACGGUACCGUAAGAAUAAGGAUCGGCUAACUCCGUGCCAGCAGCCGCGGUAAUACGGAGGAUCCAAGCGUUAUCCGGAAUCAUUGGGUUUAAAGGGUUCGUAGGCGGUUUACUAAGUCAGUGGUGAAAGCCCAUCGCUCAACGAUGGAACGGCCAUUGAUACUGUUAGACUUGAAUUACAAGGAAGUAACUAGAAUAUGUAGUGUAGCGGUGAAAUGCUUAGAUAUUACAUGGAAUACCAAUUGCGAAGGCAGGUUACUACUUGUGGAUUGACGCUGAUGGACGAAAGCGUGGGGAGCGAACAGGAUUAGAUACCCCAGUAGUCC